RNAcentral lists this ribosomal RNA (468 nucleotides) under uncultured bacterium. RNAcentral's name for it is "partial 16S ribosomal RNA". It matches the Rfam family "Bacterial small subunit ribosomal RNA", at positions 28 to 507 of the family's 1533-position model. The record is from RNAcentral.
GACGAACGCUGGCGGCGUGCUUAACACAUGCAAGUCGAACGGAAAGGCCCUGCUUUUGUGGGGUGCUCGAGUGGCGAACGGGUGAGUAACACGUGAGUAACCUGCCCUUGACUUUGGGAUAACUUCAGGAGACUCGGGCUAAUACCGGAUAUGAGCUCCUGCUGCAUGGUGUGGGUUGGAAAGUUUCGGCGGUUGGGGAUGGACUCGCGGCUUAUCAGCUUGUUGGUGGGGUAGUGGCUUACCAAGGCUUUGACGGGUAGCCGGCCUGAGAGGGUGACCGGCCACAUUGGGACUGAGAGACGGCCCAGACUCCUACGGGAGGCAGCAGUGGGGAAUAUGGCACAAUGGGCGGAAGCCUGAUGCAGCAACGCCGCGUGCGGGAUGACGGCCUUCUGGUGAUAAACCGCUUUCGCCUGUAACGAGGCGUGAGUGACGGUAAUGGGUAAAGAAGCACCGGCUAACUACGUG